RNAcentral lists this unclassified non-coding RNA (90 nucleotides) under Pseudomonas thivervalensis. Lineage: Bacteria; Pseudomonadati; Pseudomonadota; Gammaproteobacteria; Pseudomonadales; Pseudomonadaceae. The record is from RNAcentral.
UGUGGGAGCGAGCUUGCUCGCGAUAGCGUUGGUUCGGUUGGCAUUCCUGUCGACUGACCCACCGCCAUCGCGAGCAAGCUCGCUCCCACA